This 470-nucleotide ribosomal RNA is filed under the name uncultured bacterium. RNAcentral's name for it is "SSU rRNA". It matches the Rfam family "Bacterial small subunit ribosomal RNA", at positions 26 to 518 of the family's 1533-position model. The record is from RNAcentral.
AGGACGAACGCUGGCGGCGUGCUUAACACAUGCAAGUCGAGCGGAAAGGCCCUUCGGGGUACUCGAGCGGCGAACGGGUGAGUAACACGUGAGCAACCUGCCCUUGGCUCUGGGAUAGCCUCCGGAAACGGGGAUUAAUACCGGACAUUCACUUUCUCCUGCAUGGGGGUUGGUGGAAAGUUUUUCGGCCAGGGAGGGGCUCGCGGCCUAUCAGCUUGUUGGCGGGGUAACGGCCCACCAAGGCGACGACGGGUAGCCGGCCUGAGAGGGCGAUCGGCCACACUGGGACUGAGACACGGCCCAGACUCCUACGGGAGGCAGCAGUGGGGAAUAUUGCACAAUGGGCGCAAGCCUGAUGCAGCGACGCCGCGUGGGGGAUGAAGGCCUUCGGGUUGUAAACCCCUUUCACCAGGAGCGAAUUCAGACGGUACCUGGGAAGAAGCGCCGGCUAACUACGUGCCAGCAGCCGC